GGUUAAGCGACUAAGCGUACACGGUGGAUGCCCUGGCAGUCAGAGGCGAUGAAGGACGUGCUAAUCUGCGAUAAGCGUCGGUAAGGUGAUAUGAACCGUUAUAACCGGCGAUUUCCGAAUGGGGAAACCCAGUGUGAUUCGUCACACUAUCAUUAACUGAAUCCAUAGGUUAAUGAGGCGAACCGGGGGAACUGAAACAUCUAAGUACCCCGAGGAAAAGAAAUCAACCGAGAUUCCCCCAGUAGCGGCGAGCGAACGGGGAGCAGCCCAGAGCCUGAAUCAGUGUGUGUGUUAGUGGAAGCGUCUGGAAAGGCGCGCGAUACAGGGUGACAGCCCCGUACACAAAAAUGCACAUGCUGUGAGCUCGAUGAGUAGGGCGGGACACGUGGUAUCCUGUCUGAAUAUGGGGGGACCAUCCUCCAAGGCUAAAUACUCCUGACUGACCGAUAGUGAACCAGUACCGUGAGGGAAAGGCGAAAAGAACCCCGGCGAGGGGAGUGAAAAAGAACCUGAAACCGUGUACGUACAAGCAGUGGGAGCACGCUUAGGCGUGUGACUGCGUACCUUUUGUAUAAUGGGUCAGCGACUUAUAUUCUGUAGCAAGGUUAACCGAAUAGGGGAGCCGAAGGGAAACCGAGUCUUAACUGGGCGUUAAGUUGCAGGGUAUAGACCCGAAACCCGGUGAUCUAGCCAUGGGCAGGUUGAAGGUUGGGUAACACUAACUGGAGGACCGAACCGACUAAUGUUGAAAAAUUAGCGGAUGACUUGUGGCUGGGGGUGAAAGGCCAAUCAAACCGGGAGAUAGCUGGUUCUCCCCGAAAGCUAUUUAGGUAGCGCCUCGUGAAUUCAUCUCCGGGGGUAGAGCACUGUUUCGGCAAGGGGGUCAUCCCGACUUACCAACCCGAUGCAAACUACGAAUACCGGAGAAUGUUAUCACGGGAGACACACGGCGGGUGCUAACGUCCGUCGUGAAGAGGGAAACAACCCAGACCGCCAGCUAAGGUCCCAAAGUCAUGGUUAAGUGGGAAACGAUGUGGGAAGGCCCAGACAGCCAGGAUGUUGGCUUAGAAGCAGCCAUCAUUUAAAGAAAGCGUAAUAGCUCACUGGUCGAGUCGGCCUGCGCGGAAGAUGUAACGGGGCUAAACCAUGCACCGAAGCUGCGGCAGCGACGCUGAUGCGUUGUUGGGUAGGGGAGCGUUCUGUAAGCCUGCGAAGGUGUGCUGUGAGGCAUGCUGGAGGUAUCAGAAGUGCGAAUGCUGACAUAAGUAACGAUAAAGCGGGUGAAAAGCCCGCUCGCCGGAAGACCAAGGGUUCCUGUCCAACGUUAAUCGGGGCAGGGUGAGUCGACCCCUAAGGCGAGGCCGAAAGGCGUAGUCGAUGGGAAACAGGUUAAUAUUCCUGUACUUGGUGUUACUGCGAAGGGGGGACGGAGAAGGCUAUGUUGGCCGGGCGACGGUUGUCCCGGUUUAAGCGUGUAGGCUGGUUUUCCAGGCAAAUCCGGAAAAUCAAGGCUGAGGCGUGAUGACGAGGCACUACGGUGCUGAAGCAACAAAUGCCCUGCUUCCAGGAAAAGCCUCUAAGCAUCAGGUAACAUCAAAUCGUACCCCAAACCGACACAGGUGGUCAGGUAGAGAAUACCAAGGCGCUUGAGAGAACUCGGGUGAAGGAACUAGGCAAAAUGGUGCCGUAACUUCGGGAGAAGGCACGCUGAUAUGUAGGUGAAGUCCCUCGCGGAUGGAGCUGAAAUCAGUCGAAGAUACCAGCUGGCUGCAACUGUUUAUUAAAAACACAGCACUGUGCAAACACGAAAGUGGACGUAUACGGUGUGACGCCUGCCCGGUGCCGGAAGGUUAAUUGAUGGGGUUAGCGCAAGCGAAGCUCUUGAUCGAAGCCCCGGUAAACGGCGGCCGUAACUAUAACGGUCCUAAGGUAGCGAAAUUCCUUGUCGGGUAAGUUCCGACCUGCACGAAUGGCGUAAUGAUGGCCAGGCUGUCUCCACCCGAGACUCAGUGAAAUUGAACUCGCUGUGAAGAUGCAGUGUACCCGCGGCAAGACGGAAAGACCCCGUGAACCUUUACUAUAGCUUGACACUGAACAUUGAGCCUUGAUGUGUAGGAUAGGUGGGAGGCUUUGAAGUGUGGACGCCAGUCUGCAUGGAGCCGACCUUGAAAUACCACCCUUUAAUGUUUGAUGUUCUAACGUGGACCCGUAAUCCGGGUUGCGGACAGUGUCUGGUGGGUAGUUUGACUGGGGCGGUCUCCUCCUAAAGAGUAACGGAGGAGCACGAAGGUUGGCUAAUCCUGGUCGGACAUCAGGAGGUUAGUGCAAUGGCAUAAGCCAGCUUGACUGCGAGCGUGACGGCGCGAGCAGGUGCGAAAGCAGGUCAUAGUGAUCCGGUGGUUCUGAAUGGAAGGGCCAUCGCUCAACGGAUAAAAGGUACUCCGGGGAUAACAGGCUGAUACCGCCCAAGAGUUCAUAUCGACGGCGGUGUUUGGCACCUCGAUGUCGGCUCAUCACAUCCUGGGGCUGAAGUAGGUCCCAAGGGUAUGGCUGUUCGCCAUUUAAAGUGGUACGCGAGCUGGGUUUAGAACGUCGUGAGACAGUUCGGUCCCUAUCUGCCGUGGGCGCUGGAGAAUUGAGGGGGGCUGCUCCUAGUACGAGAGGACCGGAGUGGACGCAUCACUGGUGUUCGGGUUGUCAUGCCAAUGGCACUGCCCGGUAGCUAAAUGCGGAAGAGAUAAGUGCUGAAAGCAUCUAAGCACGAAACUUGCCCCGAGAUGAGUUCUCCCUGACUCCUUGAGAGUCCUGAAGGAACGUUGAAGACGACGACGUUGAUAGGCCGGGUGUGUAAGCGCAGCGAUGCGUUGAGCUAACCGGUACUAAUGAACCGUGAGGCUUAACCUU
Molecule: ribosomal RNA, 2904 nt
Filed under: Escherichia coli
Lineage: Bacteria; Pseudomonadati; Pseudomonadota; Gammaproteobacteria; Enterobacterales; Enterobacteriaceae
Description: 23S ribosomal RNA
Rfam family: Bacterial large subunit ribosomal RNA
Source: RNAcentral